This 253-nucleotide ribosomal RNA is filed under the name uncultured bacterium. Its description in RNAcentral is "partial 16S ribosomal RNA". It matches the Rfam family "Bacterial small subunit ribosomal RNA", at positions 524 to 776 of the family's 1533-position model. The record is from RNAcentral.
UACGUAGGUGGCAAGCGUUGUCCGGAUUUACUGGGUGUAAAGGGCGUGUAGCCGGGCUUACAAGUCAGAUGUGAAAUCCGGGGGCUCAACCCCCGAACUGCAUUUGAAACUGUAGGUCUUGAGUAUCGGAGAGGCAGGCGGAAUUCCCAGUGUAGCGGUGAAAUGCGUAGAUAUUAGGAGGAACACCAGUGGCGAAGGCGGCCUGCUGGACGACAACUGACGGUGAGGCGCGAAAGCGUGGGGAGCAAACAGG